CCUACGGGUGGCAGCAGUGGGGAAUAUUGGGCAAUGGGCGCAAGCCUGACCCAGCAACGCCGCGUGAAGGAAGAAGGCCCUCGGGUUGUAAACUUCUUUUGUCAGGGACGAAACAAAUGACGGUACCUGACGAAUAAGCCACGGCUAACUACGUGCCAGCAGCAGCGGUAAUACGUAGGUGACCAGCGUUAUCCGGAUUUACUGGGUGUAAAGGGCGUGUAGGCGGGAGGGCAAGUCAGAUGUGAAAUUCCAGGGGUCAACCCUGGAACUGCAUUUGAAACUGUUUUUCUUGAGUGAUGGAGAGGCAGGCGGAAUUCCGUGUGUAGCGGUGAAAUGCGUAGAUAUACGGAGGAACACCAGUGGCGAAGGCGGCAUGCUGGACGACAACUGACGGUGAGGCGCGAAAGCGUGGGGAGCAAACAGGAUUAGAUACCCCAGUAGUC
This 443-nucleotide ribosomal RNA is filed under the name uncultured bacterium. RNAcentral describes it as "partial 16S ribosomal RNA". It matches the Rfam family "Bacterial small subunit ribosomal RNA", at positions 338 to 795 of the family's 1533-position model. The record is from RNAcentral.